UUGGUUGACCGUUAUGGAAUAACCGUUUCACAAAUGAUAUCAGAUAUGUUCCUUACGUCGUAACUACAAUCCCCUUCCCUUUCAUGAAUGUGACCUACCGAAUUAGACUAUUUACCGGAUUUGAUAUCACAUAAGCAACACGACGGGUGCCACAUGUGGAGCAGGAUCUGCUUACCCUUCCGGAGCACCUGAGAUCACCCCUAGUUUUUGGUGGGG
This 216-nucleotide long non-coding RNA is filed under the name Mytilus galloprovincialis (Mediterranean mussel). The record is from RNAcentral. Lineage: Eukaryota; Metazoa; Mollusca; Bivalvia; Mytilida; Mytilidae.